AGCGCAGGUGGUUUCUUAAGUCUGAUGUAAAAGGCAGUGGCUCAACCAUUGUGUGCAUUGGAAACUGGGAGACUUGAGUGCAGGAGAGGAGAGUGGAAUUCCAUGUGUAGCGGUGAAAUGCGUAGAUAUAUGGAGGAACACCGGAGGUGAAAGCGGCUCUCUGGCCUGUAACUGACACUGAGGCUCGAAAGCGUGGGGAGCAAACA
This 206-nucleotide ribosomal RNA is filed under the name uncultured bacterium. RNAcentral's name for it is "partial 16S ribosomal RNA". It matches the Rfam family "Bacterial small subunit ribosomal RNA", at positions 568 to 774 of the family's 1533-position model. The record is from RNAcentral.